RNAcentral lists this ribosomal RNA (515 nucleotides) under uncultured bacterium. Its description in RNAcentral is "bacterial SSU rRNA". It matches the Rfam family "Bacterial small subunit ribosomal RNA", at positions 29 to 517 of the family's 1533-position model. The record is from RNAcentral.
AACGAACGCUGGCGGCGUGGAUUAGGCAUGCAAGUCGAACGCGAAAGAGGGGGCAACCCCUUGAGUAGAGUGGCGAACGGGUGAGUAACGCGUGAGAAACCUGCCUUCGACAGGGGGAUAACACUCCUAACGGGGUGCUAAUACCGCAUGAGACCACGGAGUCGCAUGGCUCCGAGGUCAAAGGUGGCCUCUAUUUAUAAGCUACCGGUCGAAGAUGGUCUCGCGUCCCAUUAGCUAGUUGGCGGUGUAAAGGACCACCAAGGCGACGAUGGGUAGCUGGUCUGAGAGGAUGGUCAGCCACACUGGGACUGAGAUACGGCCCAGACUCCUACGGGAGGCAGCAGUCGAGAGGCUUCGGCAAUGGGGGAAACCCUGACCGAGCGACGCCGCGUGAGGGAUGAAGGCCCUUGGGUUGUAAACCUCUUUUGUUCGGGAAGAAGUGCGAUCAGGUGAACAAUCUGGUCGUUUGACGGUACCGGACGAAUAAGCUCCGGCUAACUCCGUGCCAGCAGCCG